This is an RNA transcript of Malania oleifera, 2502 nucleotides long. It is a transcript of the gene named probable CCR4-associated factor 1 homolog 11, with no coding region annotated. The record is from RefSeq and is a predicted model, not a curated record. NCBI's taxonomy places the organism in Eukaryota, Viridiplantae, Streptophyta, Magnoliopsida, Santalales, Ximeniaceae. The transcript is spliced from 3 exons.
UGUUUUUCCUCUCUCUCUCAUCGGGCCCUGGAACGCAUGAAAACCCUAGCCCUCGAUCCCAGAGGAUUCCCUUUCUCCCUUUCCCAAUCGCUCAAAUGCCCUAAUCAUUACCUGGUUCGCCCUCAAAUCUUCCCUCAUUUUCUCUCAAUCGUACCGGAGUACGAGAUCAACAUUCCUUCAGAAGAAUCCGAAUGGGGGAUCUGAACACGGCCACGCCCUCCGACCGGCCUUCCAUCACUGUGCGCUCCGUUUGGUCGCACAAUCUUGACUCUGAGUUCGCUAUAAUCCGAUCCAUAAUCGAUCAGUACCCCCUCGUUUCAAUGGAUACCGAGUUUCCCGGCGUCGUAGUUCGUCCCGACUCCGACGCCGCCCCGUACUUUCGCCACCGUCACCCGUCCACGCACUACCAGCUCCUUAAAGCUAACGUCGAUAUCUUGAAUUUGAUCCAAAUAGGGCUUUCUCUCUCGGAUGCUGCCGGCAAUCUCCCCGACCUUGGCUCCGACCAGCGUCACCAGUACAUCUGGGAGUUCAACUUUUCGGAUUUUGAUAUUUCGCGCGACUCUCACGAUCCGGACUCCAUCGUGUUGCUGAGUCAGCAGGGCAUCGAUUUUGAGAAGAACAGAGUGCAUGGCAUCGACUCGAUCCGAUUCGCUGAGUUGAUGAUGGCGUCCGGUCUCGUGUGCACCGACUCGGUGAGUUGGGUCAGUUUCCAUGGUGCUUACGAUUUUGGGUACUUGGUGAAGAUUCUCACGCGCCGUUUCUUACCUAGCGAGUUAGAUGGGUUUCUGACUCUUGUGAGGGUGUUCUUUGGCGCCCUGGUUUAUGAUGUGAAACAUCUGAUGAGGUUCUGUGCACACUUGUACGGUGGGUUAGACCGGGUGGGGAAAGACCUGGGCUUGGACAGGUUGGUGGGGAAGUGUCAUCAGGCCGGCUCAGAUAGCUUGUUAACGUUGCGUGUGUUCCAGAAGAUUAGAGAGCUUUACUUCUGUGGACCUGGGGUCGAGAAGUACGCUGGCGUUCUGUAUGGCUUAGAGAGAUUCUGUUUGUGUGCUUAUAAUGAGGGGGAUAAUAAUGGGCGGAAAGUACUAAAUUGUUAAAAUGAUCUGGUUUGCUGUUUGGGUCCUUCGUGGAGGAGUUUGGUUUCAAUUCUUUCAAGCAGUGGGUCUUUCCUUUGAGUUAAUUUUUCUGACUUGGUGGAGUGCUGCUUGCCCAUCUUCAGUCUUCACUGCUCUGUGUGAUAAAGUGGAGAGCUUGAAAAAACCACUACGUUUAUGCGUAUUCUCCUCAACUAGUACAGUUAUGCAUACUCUGAUACGGCUGGGAUGUAAGAUUCAUCAUGAUAUCAACAACUCCAUUUAUGCAUAUUCUCCUCAAGAAGUUAUAUUGUUGUUUUAAACUAGACUUGAAUCUGCAUUUGUCUUUGGACUUUACAGCAUGUUUUCGUGCUUUUUCUGCAUCAACUCAGAGAAGCAGGUGUUUAAAGACUCGAGAGAUGGGAUAGAGGUGACACUUUCCAGCUUUGAUGGAGUUGCUAUGCCGUUCAAGUGGUGGAGGGCUCCAUGCUGCUUCGAAUAUUUCGUUUGGCAGUCCAAACCAGCCAGCCAGAUAAGUGUGGUCCCUCCCUGCAGUUCCCACUGUCUUCUUAUCAAUAUGGGACAGUGGCUAAACAAUUUGGGGUGAAGGAAUUUAUGUUUGGCAAGUGGCUAGCCCUUCCAAGCAGAGGUCAGUUUUGAGGCCCCAUUAUCACUCCACUCUCAUAUGCCUGCCUUUGCAAAUGAUUUGCAUUUCAAGGGGAUGCACCGCACCUUACAUGAGAUGAAUUGACAUUGGCCUCGGCAAUCAUGAAUACAAGUGUCCUAGUUGUGCCACUAAUAUUUAUUGGAGAGGAUGUUGAUUCUCAUUUUUAAUUACAGUUGAAGCCAAGACUAGUCUCUACUGCAUUUUAGUCUGAAUAUAACCCUUAAACCAAUACAGGAUGAAAAUCUGUCUUUUGGAUCUCGUUGGUUCCAGAGAAUGUUGCUUCCUGUUCAUCCCAAAUGAAAACCUCUCCCUUGUCUUGACAGUCUUUUAGGUGCUAGUUUUUGGGUUCACCAUUAGAAGCUUACUAGCUGCUGCAGUUGUUUCUAUUUUCCUCCUUCAUGGUAUCUUUUUGUGUUCUAAUUGUGGUAAAUUGUUACUGGUUAUUAAGAUGCACUCUUCUUGUAAGACCAGUCGGGUUGAGUGCUGCUGUCCCAAUUUUGGAGGUAAUUUUUUUUGGGGAAAUGAAGAAUAAAGGAAUUUCAACAAAAGAUUUGGGAGUUUAGAAGGCUACCACAUAUGAAGGGCAUCACGUGCUGCCGGGUCCGCAUUUUGUUGUAUUAUUAACACCUUCAAAAAAUAGCAAAAAGGAUAAGGUGGCAACUCUUUCUUUGCCCCGCUCCCAGCUGUGCGUGUUGUAAAUUUGACUUUAUCUAGAUUUAGAUAAAAAUUCAUUAUAAUUUCAUCUCAUAUUAUGUUCAAAUU